UGCAAGCGUUACUCGGAAUCACUGGGCGUAAAGCGCGCGCAGGCGGCUAUUUAAGUUGGAUGUGAAAGCCUACGGCUCAACCGUAGAACUGCAUCCAAAACUAUUUAGCUAGAGUGUGGGAGAGGAAGAUGGAAUUAGUUGUGUAGGGGUAAAAUCCGUAGAGAUAACUAGGAAUACCAAAAGCGAAGGCAAUCUUCUGGAACACUACUAACAUUCAUCGUUUACUGCGUGGA
This 233-nucleotide ribosomal RNA is filed under the name uncultured bacterium. RNAcentral's name for it is "partial 16S ribosomal RNA". It matches the Rfam family "Bacterial small subunit ribosomal RNA", at positions 533 to 765 of the family's 1533-position model. The record is from RNAcentral.